Molecule: ribosomal RNA, 492 nt
Filed under: uncultured bacterium
Lineage: Bacteria
Description: partial 16S ribosomal RNA
Rfam family: Bacterial small subunit ribosomal RNA
Source: RNAcentral
AUUGAACGCUGGCGGCAUGCUUUACACAUGCAAGUCGAACGGUAACAGGCCUUCGGGUGCUGACGAGUGGCGCACGGGUGAGUAAUGCAUCGGAACGUGCCCAGAGGUGGGGGAUAACGCAGCGAAAGCUGUGCUAAUACCGCAUGUGAUCUGAGGAUGAAAGCGGGGGACCAGGCAGCAAUGUUUGGCCUCGCGCCUUUGGAGCGGCCGAUGUCGGAUUAGGUAGUUGGUGGGGUAAAGGCCUACCAAGCCGACGAUCUGUAGCUGGUCUGAGAGGACGACCAGCCACACUGGGACUGAGACACGGCCCAGACUCCUACGGGAGGCAGCAGUGGGGAAUUUUGGACAAUGGGCGCAAGCCUGAUCCAGCAAUGCCGCGUGCGGGAAGAAGGCCUUCGGGUUGUAAACCGCUUUUGUACGGAACGAAAAGGCUCUGGCUAAUACCUGGGGCUGAUGACGGUACCGUAAGAAUAAGCACCGGCUAACUACGUG